This 497-nucleotide ribosomal RNA is filed under the name uncultured bacterium. RNAcentral's name for it is "partial 16S ribosomal RNA". It matches the Rfam family "Bacterial small subunit ribosomal RNA", at positions 28 to 507 of the family's 1533-position model. The record is from RNAcentral.
GAUGAACGCUGGCGGCGUGCCUAAUACAUGCAAGUCGAGCGAACAGAUGAGGAGCUUGCUCCUCUGAAGUUAGCGGCGGACGGGUGAGUAACACGUGGAUAACCUACCUAUAAGACUGGGAUAACUUCGGGAAACCGGAGCUAAUACCGGAUAAUAUAUUGAACCGCAUGGUUCAAUAGUGAAAGACGGUUUUGCUGUCACUUAUAGAUGGAUCCGCGCCGCAUUAGCUAGUUGGUAAGGUAACGGCUUACCAAGGCAACGAUGCGUAGCCGACCUGAGAGGGUGAUCGGCCACACUGGAACUGAGACACGGUCCAGACUCCUACGGGAGGCAGCAGUAGGGAAUCUUCCGCAAUGGGCGAAAGCCUGACGGAGCAACGCCGCGUGAGUGAUGAAGGUCUUCGGAUCGUAAAACUCUGUUAUUGGGGAAGAACAAAUGUGUAAGUAACUAUGCACGUCUUGACGGUACCUAAUCAGAAAGCCACGGCUAACUACGUG